RNAcentral lists this ribosomal RNA (773 nucleotides) under Penicillium chrysogenum. RNAcentral describes it as "eukaryotic LSU rRNA". It matches the Rfam family "Eukaryotic large subunit ribosomal RNA", at positions 66 to 857 of the family's 3401-position model. The record is from RNAcentral. Lineage: Eukaryota; Fungi; Ascomycota; Eurotiomycetes; Eurotiales; Aspergillaceae.
CAACAGGGAUUGCCCCAGUAACGGCGAGUGAAGCGGCAAGAGCUCAAAUUUGAAAGCUGGCUCCUUCGGGGUCCGCAUUGUAAUUUGUAGAGGAUGCUUCGGGAGCGGUCCCCAUCUAAGUGCCCUGGAACGGGACGUCAUAGAGGGUGAGAAUCCCGUAUGGGAUGGGGUGUCCGCGCCCGUGUGAAGCUCCUUCGACGAGUCGAGUUGUUUGGGAAUGCAGCUCUAAAUGGGUGGUAAAUUUCAUCUAAAGCUAAAUAUUGGCCGGAGACCGAUAGCGCACAAGUAGAGUGAUCGAAAGAUGAAAAGCACUUUGAAAAGAGAGUUAAAAAGCACGUGAAAUUGUUGAAAGGGAAGCGCUUGCGACCAGACUCGCUCGCGGGGUUCAGCCGGCAUUCGUGCCGGUGUACUUCCCCGCGGGCGGGCCAGCGUCGGUUUGGGCGGUCGGUCAAAGGCCCUCGGAAGGUAACGCCCCUAGGGGCGUCUUAUAGCCGAGGGUGCAAUGCGACCUGCCUAGACCGAGGAACGCGCUUCGGCUCGGACGCUGGCAUAAUGGUCGUAAACGACCCGUCUUGAAACACGGACCAAGGAGUCUAACAUCUACGCGAGUGUUCGGGUGUCAAACCCGUGCGCGAAGUGAAAGCGAACGGAGGUGGGAACCCUCACGGGUGCACCAUCGACCGAUCCUGAAGUCUUCGGAUGGAUUUGAGUAAGAGCGUAGCUGUUGGGACCCGAAAGAUGGUGAACUAUGCCUGAAUAGGGCGAAGCCAGAG